RNAcentral lists this ribosomal RNA (1318 nucleotides) under uncultured Alphaproteobacteria bacterium. Its description in RNAcentral is "uncultured alpha proteobacterium 16S ribosomal RNA". It matches the Rfam family "Bacterial small subunit ribosomal RNA", at positions 33 to 1398 of the family's 1533-position model. The record is from RNAcentral. Lineage: Bacteria; Pseudomonadati; Pseudomonadota; Alphaproteobacteria.
ACGCUGGCGGCACGCCUAACACAUGCAAGUCGAACGAAGUAGCAAUACUUAGUGGCAGACGGGUGAGUAACAUGUAGGUAUCUGCCCUUUGGCCUGGAAUAACACGAGGAAACUUGUGCUAAUACCGGAUAAGUCUUUACAGAGAAAGCUUUAUGCACCAUUGGAUGAGCCUGCACUUGAUUAGUUUGUUGGUGGGGUAAUGGCCUACCAAGACUUUGAUCAAUAGCUGAUUUGAGAGGAUGAUCAGCCACAUUGGGACUGAGACACGGCCCAAACUCCUACGGGAGGCAGCAGUGGGGAAUCUUGCACAAUGGAGGAAACUCUGAUGCAGCGAUGCCGCGUGAGUGAAGAAGGCCCUUGGGUUGUAAAGCUCUUUCGUCGGGGAAGAAAAUGACUGUACCCGAAUAAGAAGGUCCGGCUAACUUCGUGCCAGCAGCCGCGGUAAUACGAAGGGACCUAGCGUAGUUCGGAAUUACUGGGCUUAAAGAGUUCGUAGGUGGUUGAAAAAGUUGGUGGUGAAAUCCCAGAGCUUAACUCUGGAACUGCCAUCAAAACUUUUCAGCUAGAGUAUGAUAGAGGAAAGCAGAAUUUCUAGUGUAGAGGUGAAAUUCGUAGAUAUUAGAAAGAAUACCAAUUGCGAAGGCAGCUUUCUGGAUCAUUACUGACACUGAGGAACGAAAGCAUGGGUAGCGAAGAGGAUUAGAUACCCUCGUAGUCCAUGCCGUAAACGAUGUGUGUUAGACGUUGGAAAUUUAUUUUCAGUGUCGCAGCGAAAGCGAUAAACACACCGCCUGGGGAGUACGACCGCAAGGUUAAAACUCAAAUGAAUUGACGGGGACCCGCACAAGUAGUGGAGCAUGUGGUUUAAUUCGAAGAUACGCGCAGAACCUUACCAACACUUGACAUGUUCGUCGCGACUUUAAGAGAUUAAAGUUUUCGGUUCGGCCGGACGAAACACAGGUGCUGCAUGGCUGUCGUCAGCUCGUGUCGUGAGAUGUUGGGUUAAGUCCCGCAACGAGCGCAACCCUCACUUUUAGUUGCCAUCAUUAAGUUGGGCACUCUGAAAGAACUGCCAGUGAUAAGCUGGAGGAAGGUGGGGAUGACGUCAAGUCCUCAUGGCCCUUACGUGUUGGGCUACACACGUGCUACAAUGGUAUCUACAACAGGAAGCAAGACGGCGACGUUUAGCAAAUCCCUAAAAGAUACCUCAGUUCGGAUUGCACUCUGCAACUCGAGUGCAUGAAGCUGGAAUUACUAGUAAUCGUGGAUCAGCGUGCCACGGUGAAUGCGUUCCCGGGUCUUGUACACACCGCCCGUC